GAUGAACGCUGGCGGCGUGCCUAAUACAUGCAAGUCGAGCGAGCUUGCCUAGAUGAUUUUAGUGCUUGCACUAAAUGAAACUAGAUACAAGCGAGCGGCGGACGGGUGAGUAACACGUAGGUAACCUGCCCCGGAGCGGGGGAUAACAUUUGGAAACAGAUGCUAAUACCGCAUAACAACAAAAGCCGCAUGGCUUUUGUUUGAAAGAUGGCUUUGGCUACCACUCUGGGAUGGACCUGCGGUGCAUUAGCUAGUUGGUAAGGUAACGGCUUACCAAGGCGACGAUCGGUAGCCGGACUGAGAGGUUGAACGGCCACAUUGGGACUGGAGACACGGGCCCAG
RNAcentral lists this ribosomal RNA (342 nucleotides) under uncultured bacterium. Its description in RNAcentral is "bacterial SSU rRNA". It matches the Rfam family "Bacterial small subunit ribosomal RNA", at positions 28 to 334 of the family's 1533-position model. The record is from RNAcentral.